RNAcentral lists this ribosomal RNA (452 nucleotides) under Neisseria flava. Its description in RNAcentral is "bacterial SSU rRNA". It matches the Rfam family "Bacterial small subunit ribosomal RNA", at positions 30 to 476 of the family's 1533-position model. The record is from RNAcentral. Lineage: Bacteria; Pseudomonadati; Pseudomonadota; Betaproteobacteria; Neisseriales; Neisseriaceae.
AUUGAACGCGGGCGGCAUGCUUUACACAUGCAAGUCGAACGGCAGCACAGAGAAGCUUGCUUCUUGGGUGGCGAGUGGCGAACGGGUGAGUAACAUAUCGGAACGAACCGAGCAGUGGGGGAUAACUAAUCGAAAGAUUAGCUAAUACCGCAUAUUUUCUGAGGAAGAAAACAGGGGACCAUUUGGCCUUGCGCUGUUUGAGCGGCCGAUAUCUGAUUAGCUAGUUGGUGGGGUAAAGGCUUACCAAGGCGACGAUCAGUAGCGGGUCUGAGAGGAUGAUCCGCCACACUGGGACUGAGACACGGCCCAGACUCCUACGGGAGGCAGCAGUGGGGAAUUUUGGACAAUGGGCGCAAGCCUGAUCCAGCCAUGCCUCGUGUCUGAAGAAGGCCUUCGGGUUGUAAAGGACUUUUGUCAGGGAAGAAAAGGGCGGGGUUAAUACCCCUGUCUGA